Oreochromis niloticus (Nile tilapia) is the source of this 360-nucleotide long non-coding RNA. RefSeq lists it as uncharacterized. The transcript has 3 exons. Lineage: Eukaryota; Metazoa; Chordata; Actinopteri; Cichliformes; Cichlidae. The record is from RefSeq and is a predicted model, not a curated record.
GUGAGGAGGUCAGAGCCAUCCGCAAUACCAGCUCCAAUGAAUCGGUAGAUGCUGGGGUACUCCCUUUGGAUUUGCCCUUGCACAACAUUGAGGAGCUAAACAAUGCAGAGGCAGCUCUUCAAUUGCAAGAGGCAAAUAAGGCAAUGGUGAGACGCUUUGCCUUGAUUGGAGGGACCACACUGGAGGUGCAAGUCCGCCGUGUAAUGGCUUAUGCCAUCACAAACGAGCUGGCCUCAGUACUAAACUGGGCAGGGAAAAAAACAAAGGACCAGACGAAGCAAAAAAGGGCAUUUAAAGAUACUGCGCUGUGCAGAUGCAUAUUUGAUGGCCUGACGCAGCAGUUAGGGGCAAACUCUAUGU